GUUUUCAUUUGUGUUUUGGAAACCAAAAUAUAAAAUCUCCAGGACCAAAUGUUAAGGAUGACAAGGAAGAUGGAGAAGAACAGAAGAAACUUCCCACCAGCAGGCCCCCCGCCUAACAGCCCCCCCCCCCGCCCCCCAUAACUGCUUUGGAAUUUGUCUCAGAGGAUAACUGAGAUUUAAAUUGUUAGUUCAUUAGCACAAAGGAAAUACCGACUUCAACCUUCACUUGCUUGCUCAGGGUAGUCAGCGGCUAAGACGGGCAAAUGAGCUCAGACCAGCUCUAGAUUUCUGGCGGGAGAAAAGGAAUAGUGGCAGAAAUAUACAUGUAGCAGGGAAAGAGAGGGCAAAUUGUCUCCCAUUUAUUUUCAUAUUUUAUUUAGAGAUGAAUUUACUACUGUGCUGUUCUUCAGUAGCUCUCGAGGUAGAGAGGGGAGUGGGAAAUGAUGUUGAUCCCUGGAAUCUUUCCUGCUUGCCCCUAAAUGCCAGCCCACCCCUUCCUAUCACCACAGGGCUCCUCUUAGAACCUUUUAGAAAUACAAAACGUUCUCUGAGGUGGGGUGGGGAGGAUGGGGGAGGGCUGUGAAGCCUGCCUCUCCAGACCUCUCCUAUCUGUCUUCUACAAUAAGAGGACUGUGUGCUGAGCUCUGAGAGAAGGAAGGACUUCCUGUGCAUAAAGAUGGCGAAUCCAGAGCUUUUGUAAACUGAUUUGGAAAUUCUUUGCUUUGGAAGUGAAGAGGAUUUUUAACAAGCAAAAGGAGGUGGUUAACUGGAAGGUUGAGAGGAAAGGCCACAGAACAAGUGUCUAGGUAGACAGACUGGUAGGAUUUCACAUUUGUUCCUGCGCUCUGACAUUCCGAAGGACCAAGGAAGCAAAGCAUUAGAGAGUGUCCAUUUUGCAGCCUUUUGCUUUCUAAUCUCCUUAUGGAAGGCAGUGUAAAAUCAAUCUCGACAAACGAACGCGAGUUGGUGGAGUCUGAAUUCUAUUUUCCGAAGCCAGAGAAUUCAUAACAAUGGUGCAGAGAUGGCAGCGGUUCUGAGGCAAGAGUACUGAAAUUUGCUUUAUAAUUUACUUGAUUAUCCAAGUUGUGCAUUUGAAGAAACACAUCCAUGUUUCCGUAGUGCUUAGUGCUAUGGGUGAAAGAAAUCUUAAAGUCAAGCAGAGAAGAAAAAAAUAAAACCCACGCAUACCUCAGAAAAGCCCAAUUCAACUCCUAACAUCACCCAACCACCCCAUCCCAGAAGAAUGAAACCAUGGAGCACAACAGGUAAUAUCAGUUUUCACACCUCUGCAUCCCCUUUUAGGAUGCUCCGGGAUAUUUUUCCUUGUGAAUUUCAGUGAACGAUUCUUUUCUAUAUUAAACUUGGUUUACUACCUGAGUUGCACAGGUAUGCCA
Long non-coding RNA from Homo sapiens (human), 1394 nucleotides. RefSeq lists it as uncharacterized. The transcript has 2 exons. The record is from RefSeq and is a predicted model, not a curated record. Lineage: Eukaryota; Metazoa; Chordata; Mammalia; Primates; Hominidae.